UACGGGGGGGGCAAGCGUUGUUCGGAAUUACUGGGCGUAAAGGGCGCGUAGGCGGCCUGCUAAGUCGGACGUGAAAUCCCCCGGCUCAACCGGGGAACUGCGUCCGAUACUGGUGGGCUCGAAUCCGGGAGAGGGAUGUGGAAUUCCAGGUGUAGCGGUGAAAUGCGUAGAUAUCUGGAGGAACACCGGUGGCGAAGGCGGCAUCCUGGACCGGCAUUGACGCUGAGGAGCGAAAGCUAGGGGAGCAAACGGG
Molecule: ribosomal RNA, 253 nt
Filed under: uncultured bacterium
Lineage: Bacteria
Description: partial 16S ribosomal RNA
Rfam family: Bacterial small subunit ribosomal RNA
Source: RNAcentral